This 713-nucleotide ribosomal RNA is filed under the name uncultured fungus. RNAcentral's name for it is "SSU rRNA". It matches the Rfam family "Eukaryotic small subunit ribosomal RNA", at positions 339 to 1056 of the family's 1831-position model. The record is from RNAcentral. Lineage: Eukaryota; Fungi.
GCCUACCAUGGUUUCAACGGGUAACGGGGAAUUAGGGUUCGAUUCCGGAGAGCGAGCCUGAGAAACGGCUAGCACAUCCAAGGAAGGCAGCAGGCGCGCAAAUUACCCAAUCCCAAUACGGGGAGGUAGUGACAAUAAAUACUGAUACAGGGCUCUUUUGGGUCUUGUAAUUGGAAUGAGUACAAUUUAAACCUCUUAACGAGGAACAAUUGGAGGGCAAGUCUGGUGCCAGCAGCCGCGGUAAUUCCAGCUCCAAUAGCGUAUAUUAAAGUUGUUGCAGUUAAAAAGCUCGUAGUUGAAUUUCGGGGUUAGUAGGUUGGUCAUGCCUCUGGUAUGUACUGAUCUCACUGAUUCCUCCUUCCUUAUGAACCGUAAUGCCAUUAAUUUGGUGUUGCGGGGAAUUUGGACUGUUACUUUGAAAAAAUUAGAGUGUUUAAAGCAGGCUAACGCUUGAAUACAUUAGCAUGGAAUAAUGAAAUAGGACGUUCGAUCUUAUUUUGUUGGUUUCUAGGAUUGACGUAAUGAUUAAUAGGGAUAGUUGGGGGCGUUAGUAUUCAAUUGUCAGAGGUGAAAUUCUUGGAUUUAUUGAAGACUAACUACUGCGAAAGCAUUUGCCAAGGAUGUUUUCAUUAAUCAAGAACGAAAGUUAGGGGAUCGAAGACGAUCAGAUACCGUCGUAGUCUUAACCAUAAACUAUGCCGACUAGGGAUCGG